Non-coding RNA from Paramuricea clavata, 729 nucleotides. The record is from the annotation of a GenBank genome assembly. Lineage: Eukaryota; Metazoa; Cnidaria; Anthozoa; Malacalcyonacea; Plexauridae.
CGCAUGAUUUGAUCAGCAUCUGAAUUCAAGUAUCAAAAUAGUAAUGCACAGUGAAUAGUAUAAAAAUUGCACUAUACGGCAAAAAAUUGCCGUCGUUGCCACAAUGAUCCACGGCAUUUUGUUCUCCCUCUACGGCAAUUGCCGCGAUAAAAUUCGUGCCCUGCUCACGACCAAUAGCCUGUCACUCGAACCAUCGAAGUUCUUGUUACAGGUCAUCCCAGAAAUGGAAGCGUUGGGGUGCAAUGAAUCGCCCUCCUUGGUGGCGUCACGUGCGAUCAUUUUUUCAUGGGAAUUCCGAAUCCGCAGUCUUCCCGAGUCUUAAAAGCACCGGCCUGCCAUUCGAGUGUGCGGGUAUACUACUAAUAAGGUUAUCCAUCUACUUCAAUAUUCAGUUGUAAACCAAGUGAAGUGCAGAAAAAUCUUUCAAGUUCUAUGGAAGGGAUAUAGCUACGAAAUAUAUAAUAUAUAUUGGGUUUCUAUACAUUUCGUAAUCGAUGCGUGCGAAAAAUUCUUGAUAAGCUGCUAUUUCGCACGCCAUUUCCAGGAUGACCUAUGCAGUGAACUCUAUAUAUAUAUAUAUAUCUGGAACGAUAACAUUCAGUCAUUUGAUUGUGAAAACAAUGAAGCCUCGAUACCAGUCUUUCACGCGGAUUGGACGUCAGUCUCAGUCCCUCAAACGUCAGGUUUACGCGGAUUGGACGUCAGUUUCAUUCCCCCUCUUGCAGACCG